GUCAUACCUAACGGCUGAACCAGCAACUUGAAAGAAUGUAUAGCGAUAGCUAGUUGUUUCUAAUUAAUAAAAGAUGAAGCAAUAUCGAUUUAAUCGAAUAAAGUUCUGGGUAAAAUUAUGAUAAUGACAUUUUUUACUCAUGAGUCUUGACCAAAAUACGUGCCAGCAGUCGCGGUAAUACGUAUAAGACUAGUGUUAUUCAUCUUUAAUAGGUUUAAAGGGUACCUAGACGGCAAAUAAAGCCUUAACAGGAACUUAUUUGCUAGAGUUACUUAUGAGGGAGUUUUAAUGUACUAGAGGUGUAGAGAUAAAAUUCAGUAAUACCUUUUUUCUAACGGAAAACUUCGGCACAGGUGUAGGUGAAAACAUCUCCUUAUGGGAUAACUGACGUUGAGGGACGAAGGCUUUUUACAGCGAACAGGAUUAGAUACCCUGGUAGUCGAAGCAGAAAAUGAUGAGUGUCAUAGAUUAGAUAAACAUUUAUUCUAUAAAUGAAAGUGUAAGCACUCCACCUCAAGAGUAAUUUGGCAACAUUGGAACUGAAAUCAUUAGACCGUGUCUGAAACCAGUAGUGAAGUAUGUUGUUUAAUUUGAUAACCCGCAAAAAACCUUACCACAGCUUGAAUGUCUAUAUAUUUUUAUAUAUUAUAUGAACAGUUAUGUAUAAAAUCCAGCAUAUAUUUUUAUAUGUUAUUUUUGUGCAGGCAUGUGAUUAAAAUAGAGUAAAUUAUAAACACAAGUGUUGCACGGCUGUCUUCAGUUAAUGUCGUAAGACUAUGGUUAGCUCCAGUAAAUUAACGUAAACCCUUAUUCUAUUUUUAAAUAGAAUAGUUCUCCGCUAUAUUGGAUAAGAUAACAGGGAUCAAGACAAGUCAUCAUGGCCUAAAUGCUGUGGGCUAUAGACGUGCCACGUAAGCCUUUACAAAAGGAUGUGAAAUUGUGAAAUUGAGC
Molecule: ribosomal RNA, 951 nt
Filed under: Micarea tomentosa
Lineage: Eukaryota; Fungi; Ascomycota; Lecanoromycetes; Lecanorales; Micareaceae
Description: SSU rRNA
Rfam family: Bacterial small subunit ribosomal RNA
Source: RNAcentral